AGCAGCCGCGGUAAUUCCAGCUCCAAUAGCGUAUAUUAAAGUUGUUGCAGUUAAAAAGCUCGUAGUUGAAUUUCGGGAUCAAUAUUUCGGUCAUGCCGUUGGUAUGCACUGUUAUCAUUGAUUUCUCACCUUCUAAAGAACCGUAAUGCCAUUAAUUUGGUGUUACGGGGAAUUAGGACUGUUACCUUGAAAAAAUUAGAGUGUUUAAAGCAGGCUCACGCUUGAAUACAUUAGCAUGGAAUAAUGAAAUAGGACAUCCGAUUCUAUUUUGUUGGUUUCUAGGAUCGAUGUAAUGAUUAAUAGGGAUAGUUGGGGGCAUUAGUAUUCAAUUGUCAGAGGUGAAAUUCUUGGAUUUAUUGAAGACUAACUACUGCGAAAGCAUUUGCCAAGGAUGUUUUCAUUAAUCAAGAACGAAAGUUAGGGGAUCGAAGACGAUCAGAUACCGUCGUAGUCUUAACCAUAAACUAUGCCGACUAGGGAUCGGAUGAUGUUAAUUUUUUAAUGACUC
This 508-nucleotide ribosomal RNA is filed under the name uncultured Glomeromycotina. RNAcentral's name for it is "SSU rRNA". It matches the Rfam family "Eukaryotic small subunit ribosomal RNA", at positions 569 to 1077 of the family's 1831-position model. Lineage: Eukaryota; Fungi; Glomeromycota. The record is from RNAcentral.